AUGUUGGAGGAUCAUCUUGAGAAGAAAGAAAGGAAGCAGGAGGGCCAAGGGAAAAAAAUGGCAGAUCAUAGGAGGAGGUCAAAAUCCCUAGACGCCCUGAUUCCCAAAAUCAGGCCUGGCAUCUCUCUCUUUCCCUCAUCCUCCUUCUCCACCGACGGCCGCCACCACGGCCAGGCCGACGUGGUGGUGCGCCAUCCACCAGCGCCACCAUCUUCUUCUCCUUCCCCGAAUUCACCAUCAUCCAUCCACACCGCCGUCACCAGCGCCACCGCCACCUGCACCACAGCGCCUCCCCACACCUCACGCAAUCCACCAGACAGAUGGUCGGCGGUGUCUGAUGCCCCGCGCGACUCUCCUUGCCUGCGGUUGCUGCUUCUUCCCUUACCUCUGCUGCUGCUCUUCCUUGCGCCCCUGUGCUGCUGCCCUUCUUCUCCCCUUGCUACUGCUCCUCUCUUCUCUCACCGCUCCCUGCUGCUUCCCUCUUCUCCAUCUCCCAACUCCAAGUCGAUGCUGCGCCUCCUUCUUCAACCUACUGCUGCUCGCCCUCAACCAAUGCUGCUGCUUCUCUCUUCCUGA
RNAcentral lists this ribosomal RNA (576 nucleotides) under Triticum aestivum (bread wheat). RNAcentral describes it as "partial small subunit ribosomal RNA". Lineage: Eukaryota; Viridiplantae; Streptophyta; Magnoliopsida; Poales; Poaceae. The record is from RNAcentral.